GCUGGGUAUGGUGGUGCACACCUGUAAUCCUAGCAGCUCAGGAGGCUGAGGAAGGAGGAUUGCAAGUUUGAAGCUAGUCUCGGCAACUUAGUGAGACUGUAAGCAAUCUAGAAAGACCCUGUCUCAA
RNAcentral lists this small RNA (127 nucleotides) under Marmota monax (woodchuck). Lineage: Eukaryota; Metazoa; Chordata; Mammalia; Rodentia; Sciuridae. The record is from RNAcentral.